CAGCCAUAGACUGGUGGGGCAUCCUUGCUGUCUCUUGUCUUGCUGCUUCCAGCUCUUGUACUGAGCAGCUGGACCCUCUAAAUCUCCAGCAUGAGGUGGCCUUUGUGGAUUCUCACACCUCUGUCCUGUAAAUCUAGCUAACAAAUCCUCUUGAUAUAUAUAUAUAUGAUUUGGUCCUCUAGAGAACCCUACCUAAAACAACCCACAAUUGCAGUCCUUGGCAAAGCCCUUCAAAACAGCAAGUCACCAUUUGUCUUUCAGAGCUGAUUUGUACUGAACUGUGCUCCCCCUGAAGUCGUGUUUUACAUCAUUAUGACAGAAAAAGCAGAGGAUAAUUCUGCACGGCAAGAUGGGAGAUAUUCGUUUUGUUCCUUAUUUGGUGCUUCUGCCAGUGUGAGAACAGUCCAGGCACCCAAUCUUCUAAGGCUGCCUGGAAACUAAGGAGAGGCCCCCAUACAAGAACAGCCCAAGAGAAGGAGCUGCUUCCACUUGUAAGGCAUGGGUUUUUUUUUUCUCUCAUUGAGUUUAUUGGUACAUUUUAGGUAU
This 546-nucleotide long non-coding RNA is filed under the name Fukomys damarensis (Damara mole-rat). RNAcentral's name for it is "lncRNA (ENSFDAG00000022984.1)". Lineage: Eukaryota; Metazoa; Chordata; Mammalia; Rodentia; Bathyergidae. The record is from RNAcentral.